AGAAGUUGUCCAGGGGUCCCUGAGGGAGGCCAGCACAAGAGCUCUGCUGUAAAAGGACAUUGGACAGGUGUGAAGAGUCCAAUCAGAAACUCUUUUUGAGAGAUUGAACACAAAGCAUUCAGAGAGUCAGCAGGCUGGAGAGGCCAAGACACACACACACGAAGAAGGCAGGACACUCUUCUCCUCCUGCCACUGGACUCCAGGCUCUAUGACCUUCAAACUCCAGGACUUACACCCGCCGCCCCUGGGCACUCAGGACUUCUGCCUCAGACUGACAGUUGCAGGACAGUGCAGCAUUUUAUUUUAAAAAUACCCCACAACGUAGGUGGCUGGUCCCACUGUAGGGCAGAUACGCUUCCUUGAUUCUGAGGUCUUUGAACUUGCCCUGAAGCCACGCUACCCGCAUCCCAGGGUCUCCAGCUUGCAGAUGGACUGUGGUGGGACUUCUCAGCCACCAAGAUUGAGAGCUGUACUAGCCUGGCAUGCAGACAGCAGCUUUAGAAUCAGAUCUGCCUUCUGGUGGCUUCCCACCUAGGAGCCAUGGGACCUUUGUGAAGUCGCCAAUUGUGCUGUGGAUGCUUCAUUUGUGAAGGAGAACAGGAGUGCCUUGUGAAAUUACAGAUGGUGCUAAUAAAACAUAUCAAUAAUUUGAAUUUCACUUUUGUGGAUGCUUUAAACGUCAUAGUCAUUAGAAGGUGGAUCUGGCUGAUUGUACUUUAAAUUUUCAGUUUGGGCUGGAGCUUUGUAUUAUAACAGGAGGAUACUGGACAAGAUGAGGAAACUGAGGUACAGAUGGGAAACAUAACUUGUUCAAGUUCACACAGCAAUUAAGUGGUCAAGUCCAAGAGCAAAACCAGGCAGGCUGGCUCCAGAGCUCACGAUAGCCCACCACUGCUUUCCACCAUCACUACGGAAUCAAGUCCAUGAGGAUACUCACCUUAUGUCAGUUGCCUAAGUUGGAAAUUAUAGAAUCUUCAAAUUGGAAGGGACCUUAUCAUCCAAGAUUUCAACUUUCUACUCACUGCAAAAUCCCUUCUGGAACUUUCCAGAUUGAUGAAUUUUCAUCAGCUCUGCUUGAGUACUCCCAGUGACUUGGAAAAAAACACUGUAAUAUGGAUAUGAAAUAUAAACUGUUUGUGGAUAAAUUAUUGCAUAAUAAAAACAUGCCUAAUGGCUACACUCCCCUAA
Molecule: long non-coding RNA, 1188 nt
Organism: Nomascus leucogenys (northern white-cheeked gibbon)
Lineage: Eukaryota; Metazoa; Chordata; Mammalia; Primates; Hylobatidae
Exons: 6
Source: RefSeq, a predicted model, not a curated record